AGGUGGAGCUGCGGAAAGAUGUACACCCACAGCUCCACCACCAGGCAUGAGCCAGCUCCAGCCCAGCACUGAGAGUAGCACCGUGGGUUUACCUACCAGUGUCGGGGCUGGAGGACAGAAGAAGAAGCAUGGACAAGGAGCAGAGAAGUCACCAAUCAUCUCACUAACUGAAAACAGGAGGCUUAAGAAACGGUCCGAAUUUGCCAUUUCCAGUUUGCAAAAAAGAAGGGCCAAGUUGGAUGCUCUUGGUGCGUGUGAACCCUGGUGUAUGGUCCCAGAGUCCUCGCUCCUGAGCGUGCCUCCGGACUGUUAGUGGGGAACCGCACAGGGAGCAGGCGUCUUGGGACCAGCAAUGGAGUCUUCGGCAGAAUUUACGGGUAGGAUGAGCCCCAUGUGGACAAAUCCGGGAGAUCCACCCAGGUACACUUACCAAGGCUACGCAGAGGGAUCAAAGGACAGCGGCUUCUUAAGUACACUGGACCUUCCUGAAGACAUUUACAGUCCAGGGAUAGAACUGGUCCAGGCGGGAAGUCACCGAGCCCCAUCCUAGGGUGAGGCCCAUCUGUAUUUAGAAAUGUAAAACGGGGAUCCCUGGGUGGCGCAGCGGUUUAGCACCUGCCUUUGGCCCAGGGCGUGAUCCUGGAGACCCGGGAUCGAAUCCCACAUCCGGCUCCCGGUGCAUGGAGCCUGCAUCUCCCUCUGCCUGUGUCUCUGCCUCUCUCUCUCUCUCUCUCUCUCUCUGUGUGUGACUAUCAUAAAUAAAUAAAAAUUAAAAAAAGAAAAAAGAAACGUA
Molecule: long non-coding RNA, 793 nt
Filed under: Vulpes vulpes (red fox)
Lineage: Eukaryota; Metazoa; Chordata; Mammalia; Carnivora; Canidae
Description: lncRNA (ENSVVUG00000002044.1)
Source: RNAcentral